This 1336-nucleotide ribosomal RNA is filed under the name metagenome. Its description in RNAcentral is "bacterial LSU rRNA". It matches the Rfam family "Bacterial large subunit ribosomal RNA", at positions 1545 to 2925 of the family's 2925-position model. The record is from RNAcentral.
CCUACGGAUCGCGCAGGUUCGUAUCCCCUUAUUGGAUUGGGGGUGCGAUGAGCCGGUUCCUGGAAAUAGCUCCAUCGACAUUGACCGUACCCUAAACCGACACAGGUGGACUGGUAGAGUAUACCAAGGCGCUUGAGAGAACUAUACUGAAGGAACUCGGCAAAUUGCAUGCGUAACUUCGGGAUAAGCAUGACUUCUAUCGGGGCAACCCUUUAGGAGUGGCACAAAAGAGGGGGUGGCGACUGUUUACUAAAAACACAGGGCUCUGCGAAGAUGCAAAUCGACGUAUAGGGUCUGACGCCUGCCCGGUGCCGGAAGGUUAAAAGGAGAGGUGCAAGCUUUGAAUUGAAGCCCCGGUAAACGGCGGCCGUAACAAUAACGGUCCUAAGGUAGCGAAAUUCCUUGUCGGGUAAGUUCCGACCUGCACGAAUGGCGUAACGACUUCCCCACUGUCUCCAGUAUAGACUCAGCGAAAUUGAAUUCCCCGUGAAGAUGCGGGGUUCCUGCGGUCAGACGGAAAGACCCCAUGCACCUUUACUAUAGCUUUACGCUGGCAUUUGUGUCGGCAUGUGCAGGAUAGGUGGUAGGCUUUGAAGCAAGGACGCUAGUUCGUGUGGAGCUAAAAGAUGAGAUACCACCCUUAUCGUCAUAGAUGUCUAACCGCGGCAUAACAGUGUCCGGGACAGCGUAUGGUGGGUAGUUUGACUGGGGCGGUCGCCUCCCAAAGAGUAACGGAGGCGCGCGAUGGUGGGCUCAGAACGGUCGGGAAUCGUUCGACGAGUGCAAUGGCAUAAGCCUGCCUGACUGCGAGACCGACAGGUCGAGCAGAGACGAAAGUCGGUCAUAGUGAUCCGGUGGUCCCGCGUGGAAGGGCCAUCGCUCAACUAAUAAAAGGUACGCUGGGGAUAACAGGCUGAUGAUGCCCAAGAGUCCAUAUCGACGGCAUCGUUUGGCACCUCGAUGUCGGCUCAUCACAUCCUGGGGCUGGAGCAGGUCCCAAGGGUAUGGCUGUUCGCCAUUUAAAGUGGUACGUGAGCUGGGUUUAGAACGUCGUGAGACAGUUCGGUCCCUAUCUGCCGUGGGUGUAGGAAUAUUGAGAAGAGCUGACCCUAGUACGAGAGGACCGGGUUGGACGAAUCUCUGGUGGACCUGUUGUGGCGCCAGCCGCAUUGCAGGGUAGCUAAAUUCGGACGGGAUAACUGCUGAAAGCAUCUAAGCAGGAAGCCUCCUUCAAAACUAGUAUUCCCUUGAGAGCCGUGGAAGACCACCACGUCGAUAGGCCGGGUGUGGAAGCGCAGCAAUGUGUGAAGCUUACCGGUACUAAUAGCCCAAAAAA